RNAcentral lists this ribosomal RNA (448 nucleotides) under uncultured bacterium. Its description in RNAcentral is "partial 16S ribosomal RNA". It matches the Rfam family "Bacterial small subunit ribosomal RNA", at positions 339 to 795 of the family's 1533-position model. The record is from RNAcentral.
CUACGGGUUGCUCCAGUGGGGAAUAUUGGACAAUGGGCGAAAGCCUGAUCCAGCCAUGCCGCGUGGGUGAUUGAAGGCCUUAGGGUCGUAAAGCCCUGUCGGGAGGGACGAAGACUUCGGUUUGACGGUACCUCGCAAGAAAGCACCGGCUAACUCCGUGCCAGCAGCCGCGGUAAUACGGAGGGUGCAAGCGUUGCUCGGAAUCACUGGGCGUAAAGCGUCCGCAGGCGGCCUGCCAGGUCGGGUGUGAAAGCCCGGGGCUCAACCCCGGAACUGCACUCGAAACCGGCAAGCUUGAGUAUGGGAGAGGAGGGCGGAAUUCCUGGUGUAGAGGUGAAAUUCGUAGAUAUCAGGAGGAACGCUCGCGGCGAAGGCGGCUCUCUGGCCCAAUACUGACGCUCAUGGACGAAAGCGUGGGGAGCAAACAGGAUUAGAUACCCGUGUAGUC